This 357-nucleotide ribosomal RNA is filed under the name Staphylococcus aureus. RNAcentral's name for it is "partial 23S ribosomal RNA". It matches the Rfam family "Bacterial large subunit ribosomal RNA", at positions 2282 to 2638 of the family's 2925-position model. The record is from RNAcentral. Lineage: Bacteria; Bacillati; Bacillota; Bacilli; Caryophanales; Staphylococcaceae.
GUCGCCUCCUAAAAGGUAACGGAGGCGCUCAAAGGUUCCCUCAGAAUGGUUGGAAAUCAUUCAUAGAGUGUAAAGGCAUAAGGGAGCUUGACUGCGAGACCUACAAGUCGAGCAGGGUCGAAAGACGGACUUAGUGAUCCGGUGGUUCCGCAUGGAAGGGCCAUCGCUCAACGGAUAAAAGCUACCCCGGGGAUAACAGGCUUAUCUCCCCCAAGAGUUCACAUCGACGGGGAGGUUUGGCACCUCGAUGUCGGCUCAUCGCAUCCUGGGGCUGUAGUCGGUCCCAAGGGUUGGGCUGUUCGCCCAUUAAAGCGGUACGCGAGCUGGGUUCAGAACGUCGUGAGACAGUUCGGUCCC